AUACCAUGAUGAGGGCAAGCUCUAGUAUAGCCUUUCAUUCCUUUCCAUUCAUCAUAAAAGCUCUCUUCCUCACCUUGCUCAAAUCUAGCAAUCUCAUUCCUUAAUCU
Molecule: small nucleolar RNA, 107 nt
Organism: Arabis alpina (gray rockcress)
Lineage: Eukaryota; Viridiplantae; Streptophyta; Magnoliopsida; Brassicales; Brassicaceae
Rfam family: Plant small nucleolar RNA R71
About the family: R71 is a member of the C/D box family of snoRNAs containing the C (UGAUGA) and D (CUGA) box motifs.
Source: Rfam